CUUGCUUUCAGUUGAUUUCAUAUUACUCAUGCCACUAAAAUUAUAUAAUCACCAUAAACCUGGUUAUUGCUAUUUAAAACCGUUUUGUGAAUGUGUAGUGCAUGUGCUAAAAGGUGUGAAAGACCAGAAGAGGGCGAUAUACAUUCAACAUUAACAUUUAAUGAGCUGUUCAUCAUUCUUUAAAGAGUUAAAUGAUGAGUUAUUGACAUGUUAAUCAUUUCUUUUAAGUAAAUUAAUUUGCAGUUAUAAUGAAUGAGGACUCUAAUGUAUAGGUGAAACCCAGGACUUUAUAAACAUAAACUUGUAUUUAAAACAACAUACCCAGCAGGCCAACAUAAACAUUCACCAUAAUAAAAAAAAAGAUAAUCUUAAUUAUCAGUUGAGCUUUUUUUUAUACUUUUUGGUUAUGGUAUAUUAUGGUUAAUAUUUUUACUUCAGUGUUGAUCAGUCAAACGUUUAAUUUUAAUGCUGUGUUCUCAUCCUCUACAGUGACAGAUAGGUGGAGUCUAGGGAAAUGAAAAAGAGCAACUCAACUUUUGCUUUGUACAGUGCAAACAUGACCAUCCUUUGUGUUCUGCUUCUGCUAUUCUUGAUUAAAAAGGAGACAUUUGCGCAGUCAAUAACACCACUGGAAAACAAGACACUUAAAUCCGACGGAGAAAAAGUCACUCUGUCCUGUAAAUAUGAUGGAGCUGUAAAUAACCUGCACUGGUAUCGUCAGUAUCCAGGAUCCAAGCCGGAGUUCCUCGCAUUUAUUUAUCCACACGGAGCCACAAGUAACCCUCUUCCUGAUCGUCUAAUACCUAAAGUUGAUAAUAACAACAAUCUUGUGAGCCUGGAGAUCUAUGAUGCUGAAGUAACAGAUUCUGCGCUUUACUACUGCGCACUGACGCCCACAAUGACAGGAAACUCAACUACAGUGUACAAAAACAUCCUGAACAAAAAAACUCGAAAACUAUUUGAAUGUUUUUGUUUCAGAAAUAUCUUUCAGAGAACAUUACGCAGCAGUUCAGACAUUGGUGAUAUGUAGAAAAAGAAGUAGUAAAGUAUCAAAGCAUCUAAUGCAUAAAAACAAGUGCUAAAUAUAUAGCACUAUAACUGCUUCA
Non-coding RNA from Cyprinus carpio (common carp), 1106 nucleotides. NCBI's taxonomy places the organism in Eukaryota, Metazoa, Chordata, Actinopteri, Cypriniformes, Cyprinidae. The record is from the annotation of a RefSeq genome assembly.